AAUAUAUCAGUUAUCUUCGUCGCAUUAAGAAGAACUUGCUGGUUCUGCUCCGAUUGGAAGUCUAGUCAAAGAGCUUGAGGUCAUGAAUCAUCAAGCGGUUUGGACCUCACCUCGCCUCGUCCCUAAGCGCUUGGCUGAGAAGCGUUGUUAAAUUUUCCCAUGCAUUUUACCCAGCGGACACAAAACCUAAGCGAUCCAACUUGAGAGGCGGGGUGGAGGCAUGGCUGCCCUUUCCUUGAACUCCAUAUCCCUUCCUCCUCUCAAGUGCCGGAAACUUUCUUUCUGCUGUUCCUAUGUCAGUGCCAGCCUCAGGCCAAUCGCAGUCACCGGCAAUCCUCCUAGUUUUGUCUCCGCGCCAGUUGGUGAUUUACAUGGGGAUCUUUCAAAAACACGAUGUGCUCUACAAAUGGCAGGAGUCUUGAGCUCUGAUGGCCAAGAUUUAUGGAUAGGAGGGGAAACAGUAGUAGUUCAACUGGGCGAUAUACUUGAUCGUGGAGAUGGUGAAAUUGCAAUCCUGUCCUUGCUGAGAUCACUUGAUGCUCAGGCAAAGUUAACUGGUGGUGCAGUCUUUCAGGUUAAUGGAAAUCAUGAAACAAUGAAUAUAGAGGGUGAUUUCAGAUAUGUUGAUCUAGGAGCAUUUGAUGAGUGUAUAGACUUUGUAGACUACUUGGAUGAAUAUGAAGGCAACUGGGAUGAUGCCUUUAUCGGUUGGAACAGCGCUACUAACCAGUGGAAAGAGAGAAGGAUAUCCGGUAGUCUUUGGACCCCUUGGAAUUUUGUAAAGAAGCAGCAGGGUGUUAUUGCUAGAUCUUCACUUUUGAGGCCGGGUGGUCCUUUGGCAUGUGAGCUUGCGCGCCAUGCUGUGGUUCUUAAAAUUGAUGAUUGGAUCUUUUGUCAUGGAGGCCUUCUUCCUCAUCAUGUUGCAUAUGGAAUUAAGAAGAUGAAUGAAGAAGUAUCAUUUUGGAUGAGAGACACAAGUGAAAGUAGUGAUAAUUUUGCAUUUCCCUUCAUUGCCACCAGAGGUUAUGAUAGUGUUGUCUGGAACCGUUUGUACUCAAGAGAUUCAAAAGAUACAAAGUACCACAGUUUGCAGAUAUCCUCUAUACUGGAAGAGACAUUAGAAGCUUUAGGUGCAAAAGGUAUGGUAGUUGGACAUACUCCACAAUUUGGCGGUGUAAAUAGCAAAUAUAAUGAUAGAAUAUGGUGUAUUGAUGUGGGCAUGUCUAAGGGAGUCCUUGAUUCGAGACCAGAGUUCUGCAGGGCAACUACAUUCUUGGUGAUAGCUUCUCAUUGUAAAAAUACGUCCUCAAUUUUUCCUAGCUGCAUAGGAAGGGUUAAUAUAGCUCCUGUCUGCUGUUGUGCUGAUGGUAGAUUCCACCAUUCAGAAGUAUUGUUUCCUUUGAAAUGCCCUUUGCCUUUAUUUAUUUGUGGUUCUCUGGUAAUACUGACAGGUUCUGGCUUUGGUCUUGUUGGAGGGUAACCAACUGGAUUCAUAGUUGUAUCAAUAGGUGGCCUGUAUUGAGACACAGCCUCCUGAGAAUAUAUUUGUUCCGACAGACGCUACAACUGAGGAUAAUCUGUAAGAAAUUCGUCUUCUUUGCCAACAGGAAGAAUAUUAUCUUCGUACAAGUGUUGUUGCAAUUGUGGAUAAUCUGUCAGAAAUUCGUCUUCUUCUUUGCCAACAACAGGAAUAUUUAUGAAGAAUUGGCCUGCUAUAUGAAGAAUUGGCCUUCUUCUUUGAUGGCAUCCCAACACCUAGCGGGCCUUAUGAUCUCCUUCAACAAUACGAAGAAUUGGCCUGCUAUACGGGAAGGACAAGUAUCUACAACCAGGAAGAACACGACAAAUGCUCUCAUAUGGCCGACAUCGAGUGGAUAGCAAUCAAACACAUCCUUAGCAGCAUUAGAGAGCUUGAGCUUAUCUGCCAGCUCAAGGAAUCAGAUUUCCGCAAAAGGAGCCACUUUCAAGGACGAGAUACCUACUGGCAAAGAGCCUUACCAGCUGUCAAUGAAGCAAGGAUUGAAUUAUUCAAAGCAUUCAUCCACAUGCAACGCAUCGCACAGCUCAUAAGGAAAAAUCCACCAUGAUUGACAUAAAGGAGCAUGGUGAGCCCAGGAAUCCAAAACUUUAUGGAUUGAGCCCCGGGGAGCCGUCCAUGUGUCUAUGUUGAUAAGUUCUCUGAGUCAGCACUACAAUAAUGCUUGUAAAAGGGUCAAUAGAUAAGAUUCGAUUGAAUGAUGAUGGGCCCGAUGCGCACCCAGUUCAUCGAUUCCUUCUCUAUAAAGCCCUAUGUCUAGUCUCACUGCAAGACAUCAAGCGCUUCACGCUACAAGUCUUACUUUGAGAAACUUUGUAAGUCUUUUGUCUAAAUUGUUUUCAGAUCUUAGUCUUGUAUUACUUUCUAGUGUCUUGUACAUUAUCUAAGGUUUGGAAAUAUCUAAAGAAAUUGGCCCCCCAUUUUCUGGUAUCAGAGCUAGUUUGAUGGCUGAGUAAUUUGUUUUAAAGGUAUUUAAGGAAUGCAUGUUUGGUAACCUUUGUGAAAGUAAGGAAUCUCAGUUAUUUGCUAAAACUAACUAAGCGAUCUUCCUUUAAAGGCUUGAAUACUAAACUGUGAUAAAGCGAUCGAGGAACGACGAGUGGAUUGCAAAAGGGUAGGUCCUAACUUGGUAAGGCUUGGAGCCGAGAUACCAAGGGCACACCUACAUGAGCAAGAAAACUCUUAUAACCUCCUAAGCCAUAAGCAGUGAAAACUUCAAAGCUAAUAAGGAAUAAAAAUUUAGUUAGUGUUUAGGGAUAAGAUCCAAUUGAAAAAGAAACUACUUGAUCGCAAACUAAGCCUUGUAGUUUUGCUUAAGGUGGAUAGCCAGAAGCCAAUUUACUCGAGAAAAGAUCUUUAUGUCUAGACGAUGGGAAAUAGCUAUACAAGAAUGGUAUGCAAAGGCACCAACUGCAAACCUUGAGUACCUUGAUUUAGCAGAAACAAAGCCAACCGUUAAAGAACUAGCACACAAUAUAGCUGUUAUAUUUGAUAGAUUGAGUCUCUCUAAUAGAGUGAACCUUAAGAAUUUUAAGCAAAUUCAGGAAGACAUUGAGGUUUUAAAGGAAGAAAAUCAAAAGUUAGUCAAAGAAAUAAAAAAUUUGACUAAAGAAGUAGUACAAAACCAGCCCUUAACUAGGGAACAGUUGAAAAGCUUUAUUCUCCAAAUUGAAGAAAAACAUAAGCUAGAAACCAGCCAGGUAACAGCUUAUUCUGAAUAAUUAAAAAGAAAACUUAGUCAGAUUGAAGCAGUACUACAAAAGGUAGGAGCGUAGGCCUCUUCAUGAGCUACAUCAACACUCAAGCAACAAGCUCAUAUAAAGAAGCUCUCCAGGCAACUGAAGCAAUUGAAGCACCUUCACUUGGUUUCUGUAAACCUGCUGACUACAAAGGCGCUCUUAGCGGAACAAUUGCUACUAUCAAACAAGCAAAUACACAGAUCCAGCUUCUAGUAACUAUACUAGAAAAACUUGAAAGUUUUGAGGACAGAAUCAAGAAGAUUGAAGUAAAAGCUAAUCCUGAGGUAACUUUACCUGACGAAGUUAUUCAAGAAUUAUCUAACAAAAUUAAAGGCUUGACUCUUAAGGAAAAGGCGAAAGAAGGAAGAGGGAAGCUAUUGGUAUUCAAAGACCCCUACGAGUUAUUUCGAGAACAAAAGAAGCAAUGAAUACCAGGGUAACUACAAACCCUCCUGUCACUACUGAAAGAGCAAGUGAAAGAAAUCCCCUUUUCGAAGAUCAAAUUCGGGAUUAUAGGCAUAAUCAACGAAGAAGAUAUAAUGCUGAAAGAACUUUACAGAGAAUCACCCGAAGAAUUACAGGGCAGGGACCUUAUAUUUAUUCUCUUGAACAACAGAUUGAUCCUCAAAUUCAGUUAAGACAAUCUAUGCAAGAAAGGGCUUCCUUAGUACCCGCUGAGGUACUUUAUCAUUCCAGACGAGACGAUGUACACUAUCGGGUGUAUAUGCAUAGAUCAGAAGAAGCCAUUUUGGUGACAACUAAUCAAGUAGAUCGGGCUUUCAUUCAAGAAGAAAGUUUUCAUCAAUUACAAAGAAGCGGGAUGAGAUUUAUUCAUAUGGGGAUUAUACAAGUUAGAAUCCAAAUCCUUCAUCGACAGGAAGAAGGUACUUUACUACUAAUGGUAUUUCGUGACAACAGAUGGCAAGGAGAUCAAGCAAUUUUUGCAACAAUGGAAAUUGAUCUUACACAUGGAAGCCAACUAGUGUAUGUAAUCCCUGACACAAUGCUAACUAUAUCUGAUUUUUAUAGAAAUAUAUAGAUAUCCAUCCUAGCACGAGGCUAUGAAGGAUGGAGAAAUGGAGAAGCAAAUAUUCUCAUCACUCGAGGGCUUGUUGGACGAUUAUCAAAUACUCCAAAUGUGGGGUUCGCUUAUGAAGUUCGAAAUGUUGUUGAUUAUCUUGCUAGCCAUGGGGUUAGAGCAUUACCUGGAAGGAGAUAUGAUACAAGGGAGUUAAUGGGGCAGAAUUCGAUUAUUGUACCAUCAAUGGUUACAGUUCCCCUACAACCCACUGAGGUAACCGCUAAUAAUUUAAUUGAUGGAAGAAUUUCCCUUCAUUUUAAUGGCAGCAAGAACACCCACACCACCAAGAUAUAACUCAAGGGCUAAUGAGGAAAAUGACGAAGAAGAACAGAUGUAUACAGUUGCAGUCUUAACACUAGAUGAAGAAGAGGUGUUUUACAUCAAAAAGAUAAGUAGUACAACAAAAACACCAAGGCGAGCAUCAAAAGGAGCUGCAGGAUAUGAUCUUGCUGUUGACCAAGAUUAUAUCAUUCCCCCACAAGGACAAGAAUUAUUAAGCACUGGAAUCAGUAUCAAAACUCCAGUAGGCACUUAUGCUCGUAUAGCACCUCGGUCCAGUUAUGCUACUAAAGGCAUCAUAAUAGGAGCUGCCGUUAUUGACUCAGAUUACAGAGGUGAAGUAAAGAUUCUGGUUCAUAAUUUCUCUAAUGAUACUUUGUCUCUCAAAACAGGGGAAUGUAUAGCACAAAUAAUUUUAGAAUGCUGCAAAACCCCGAUGAUCAUGCCAGUACGGGAACUGGACAAUACCUCCAGAGGACAUAAAGGUUUUGGGUCAACAAGUUUAUCAAUCAAGGAACAAGAUAAAGAGCAAAGAAUAGCAGAAACAACUCAACGAAGGACAGAACUAUUGCAAGCAAGAGAACAAAAACAAAAGAUGGCUGACAAACGGAGUCCCCAAUCUGCAAGGAAAUACCGAAGGGAUAUUUGGCAAAAACAUUUUACAACUGAAGAUAUUUGGGAUUUACUACAACCACAUAAUUCAAAGUCUAUUGAAGAUCCAGAGUAUAUUGAAUUUCUUGAUCAAAGACAUUUCUUAUGUGUCAACACAUUGGACAUCCAAGAUGACUAUAUCAACUAUUUGCAAUAUCUCAUGUUGCAAGAAACAGACACAGGUAUUUUCAGCUUUUUUUCCGUCUCUUCAGAUGAUUUUAUUAAUCCUUUUGCAGUGGAAGAUGGUGGGAAGUUGCCAAAUAAUAUUGACAACGAAAAUAUUCCUGCUGUUGGCAAAGAAGAAGACGAAUUUCUGACAGAUUAUCCACAAUUGCAACAACACUUGUCCGAAGAUUGGGGACAAAUAUAUUAUGUGUCAACACAUUGGACAUCCAAGAUGACUAUAUCAACUAUUUGCAAUAUCUCAUGUUGCAAGAAACAGACACAGGUAUUUUCAGCUUUUUUUCCGUCUCUUCAGAUGAUUUUAUUAAUCCUUUUGCAGUGGAAGAUGGUGGGAAGUUGCCAAAUAAUAUUGACAACGAAAAUAUUCCUGCUGUUGGCAAAGAAGAAGACGAAUUUCUUACAGAUUAUCCUCAGUUGCAGCGUCUGUCGGAACAAAUAUAUUCUCAGGAGGCUGUGUCUCAAUACAGGCCACCUAUUGAUACAACUAUGAAUCCAGUUGGUUACCCUCCAACAAGACCAAAGCCAGAACCUGCCAGUAUUACCAGAGAACCACAAAUAAAUAGAUAAAAUUAAGUGAAAAAUUUUGCAAAAGCCGAACGGGUACCACAUAGAAAAUCGACUGUGCAACUUGCUUACUUGACAAAGUGCUAGUGGAUGCCAUGUCAUCAUUUUAACAGCAACUAAAUUAAUAUUUGACAUAUGCUAUAUUUUAGUACAAAAAAACAUUUAUUGUGCUGCUAGAUUUGAUAUUUUUGUGCCAGAUUUGAUGUUUUAAAGGUUGCGAUAGAUUUGAGAAGAACCCUAAUGGUUGUGUUAGAUUGAUAUUAUUAACUCACCUAAGAUCAACUAAAGAACAAGACUUUUUAUGUGUUCCAAAUUUUUUACCACCUCUAGGAUCACAUUUUAUCAAGUCAUCAGAGCACAUCAUGGUACAUGGGAUGAUUCACUUUUACAAUUUUAAUUACUUCAGUGUAGGGAAUUCGAAAGAAUGAAUUAGGUACAUAGGUGAGACCAGACUGGAACAUGAAAACCAUAUAUGCACAUAAAUUUUUUAAUAAAAAUAUUUUCUAACUAGGCAUAUUGCCACUGAGAUCCUAUCAUGGCAUUGUCCCUAAAACCCCAGUAGGAGCUAUACUGUGUAUGUGUUGACCCUAGCAUGGCGUUGUCCUAAACUGUGGUGUGUAACAAGUAACAACUAGUAAUUUUAAUUUUCAAAUGGCUGGAAACAAAGCUCUGUUGGAAAACCCUAUUACAAUUUUGCAGCAUUUAUUGUGCUUUUGAUCAUCACAGGGAAUAUCAUUGUUCCUUCGCUAGUAGUUAAUAUUGGAAAACUUGCUUAACAUGAUGUGCUAAGAACUCACAUUUCCUAUCAAACAGGUUCUUGAGAUUGUAGAUAAUGAAGCAAGAAUCAUAAGGAACAAAACUGACUUGUUUGAUGAGCUAGAAGUCACAAACUUUCUCUAGAAUUCUCCUUCUUUCAAAGAUCAUUCCUAACAAAGGAUCAUCUUGCAAAUAUGUAAUUGCUGUGGAUUCAUGCUUGUAAAAACAGAGAACCAAAAAGGUGACACCACCAUCUUCAAAUAUUUUUUCAACAGUUACUAUUGCCAAAAGUGUAUAGUUAUUAUCAUAAUGACUAUAAUAUGUGACCCAAUCACCAGAUACGAUUAUGAUCCUGUUUUUUUUUAGUGAACAAAAAUCACGUCAUUAUGUGAUGAACUUUUGUUUUU
This is an RNA transcript of Zingiber officinale, 7197 nucleotides long. It is a transcript of the gene named shewanella-like protein phosphatase 1, with no coding region annotated. The record is from RefSeq and is a predicted model, not a curated record. NCBI's taxonomy places the organism in Eukaryota, Viridiplantae, Streptophyta, Magnoliopsida, Zingiberales, Zingiberaceae. The transcript has 10 exons.